GGGAAGGUGGCUCAGUGGUAGAGUGCUUGCUUCACAUGCAUGAAGCCGUGGGUUCGAUUCCUUAGUACCA
This is a non-coding RNA of Dipodomys ordii (Ord's kangaroo rat), 70 nucleotides long. The record is from Rfam. NCBI's taxonomy places the organism in Eukaryota, Metazoa, Chordata, Mammalia, Rodentia, Heteromyidae.